AGGUGGUUACUUUCAAGGAGAAUCAUGAAACUAGAGAGGAUUUACCAUGAACCAUUUGGGAACCAACUUGUUAGCUGCCUUAUAACUAUCAUCCUUCUGAUGAAAUAACACCAUUACAGCUGUUAGUUACGUCAAGACAUUAAUCUCAAGAUGCAAGUACUGAGCUUUAACGGAUUUCAAUUUACAUAAGCAAGACAACCAAUUCUGUUGUUGAGGAGAAAACCAACUACACACCCAGCUAUGAAUGGUCUUAGUCAUUGGUGAAGAAAACCACUUGCCUUACAUGAGGCCACCACUAUCGCGUAAGAAUUGUGGUUCAGUGACGAUCCCGAAGUGUCAAACAAACUGAAGUUUAAGCAGUGGAACGGAAAAAA
Molecule: long non-coding RNA, 374 nt
Organism: Daphnia carinata
Lineage: Eukaryota; Metazoa; Arthropoda; Branchiopoda; Diplostraca; Daphniidae
Exons: 3
Source: RefSeq, a predicted model, not a curated record